CAACCAAUUUAGCGAUAGAUUGCUGAACCGUCAGAAGUCAGCAGAAGUCAUAGUACAAAUAAGGUCGCUCCUUAUUUGGAAGGAC
Molecule: non-coding RNA, 85 nt
Organism: Bacillus smithii
Lineage: Bacteria; Bacillati; Bacillota; Bacilli; Caryophanales; Bacillaceae
Source: Rfam